UGUCUGUUUAUUGUUUCCUCUUCUAAUAUUGUCUCUUCUGUGAAGAAACCUUUGGUUGUCCAACAGAAAUUACUGCUGGUUGUGCUGCCACUGCACUUUGAGGGAAAUGCAGUCCAAUGGCCAUCAGUUCCCAUGUUAUUCCCUACAUCAGGGUCCCGGGCUGGCCCUCACUCCCAGAAAAUACCAUGCCACUUAGUUCCUGGUCUAGAUCACCUCUCUUUGGCAAUGCCACUUCAUGAGAUUUUCUCUGCAACCCUGUGAACUAGAAACCAACUUUUGGCCUGAAGCUUUCUCAUGAUGCCUGGAACUGAGGCUUGAGAAGGCAGCAGUGUGUACAGUGAUCCUCCUCAAUCAUGAAAACUGGGGCCCAUGCCUGUUCUGAUGUAUAUGUUACUGCUGGACUCUUACUGUGGAAUGAAAUCCAGCCUGUUGAGGAUGCAGUCAGCUCUGGCAGCUGAUGUGGCCAGGAAUCAGAAGCUUCCCAGUGUAGUGUAAGUACCUGCCUUAACUUUCUCCAACAUUGUAGCCUGUAAAAGUUUUGGCCUACGAAGCAUGCUGGUUAUUCAUCCAAGGAACAUAUUCCCUUCUUUGCAAAACUGGAUGUAUACUAACGUCUUCUCAGCAUGCA
Neopelma chrysocephalum (saffron-crested tyrant-manakin) is the source of this 628-nucleotide long non-coding RNA. RefSeq lists it as uncharacterized. The transcript is spliced from 3 exons. The record is from RefSeq and is a predicted model, not a curated record. NCBI's taxonomy places the organism in Eukaryota, Metazoa, Chordata, Aves, Passeriformes, Pipridae.